Molecule: ribosomal RNA, 2535 nt
Filed under: metagenome
Description: bacterial LSU rRNA
Rfam family: Bacterial large subunit ribosomal RNA
Source: RNAcentral
GAGUAGGGCGGGACACGUGGUAUCCUGUCUGAAUAUGGGGGGACCAUCCUCCAAGGCUAAAUACUCCUGACUGACCGAUAGUGAACCAGUACCGUGAGGGAAAGGCGAAAAGAACCCCGGCGAGGGGAGUGAAAAAGAACCUGAAACCGUGUACGUACAAGCAGUGGGAGCACGCUUAGGCGUGUGACUGCGUACCUUUUGUAUAAUGGGUCAGCGACUUAUAUUCUGUAGCAAGGUUAACCGAAUAGGGGAGCCGAAGGGAAACCGAGUCUUAACUGGGCGUUAAGUUGCAGGGUAUAGACCCGAAACCCGGUGAUCUAGCCAUGGGCAGGUUGAAGGUUGGGUAACACUAACUGGAGGACCGAACCGACUAAUGUUGAAAAAUUAGCGGAUGACUUGUGGCUGGGGGUGAAAGGCCAAUCAAACCGGGAGAUAGCUGGUUCUCCCCGAAAGCUAUUUAGGUAGCGCCUCGUGAAUUCAUCUCCGGGGGUAGAGCACUGUUUCGGCAAGGGGGUCAUCCCGACUUACCAACCCGAUGCAAACUGCGAAUACCGGAGAAUGUUAUCACGGGAGACACACGGCGGGUGCUAACGUCCGUCGUGAAGAGGGAAACAACCCAGACCGCCAGCUAAGGUCCCAAAGUCAUGGUUAAGUGGGAAACGAUGUGGGAAGGCCCAGACAGCCAGGAUGUUGGCUUAGAAGCAGCCAUCAUUUAAAGAAAGCGUAAUAGCUCACUGGUCGAGUCGGCCUGCGCGGAAGAUGUAACGGGGCUAAACCAUGCACCGAAGCUGCGGCAGCGACGCUUAUGCGUUGUUGGGUAGGGGAGCGUUCUGUAAGCCUGCGAAGGUGUGCUGUGAGGCAUGCUGGAGGUAUCAGAAGUGCGAAUGCUGACAUAAGUAACGAUAAAGCGGGUGAAAAGCCCGCUCGCCGGAAGACCAAGGGUUCCUGUCCAACGUUAAUCGGGGCAGGGUGAGUCGACCCCUAAGGCGAGGCCGAAAGGCGUAGUCGAUGGGAAACAGGUUAAUAUUCCUGUACUUGGUGUUACUGCGAAGGGGGGACGGAGAAGGCUAUGUUGGCCGGGCGACGGUUGUCCCGGUUUAAGCGUGUAGGCUGGUUUUCCAGGCAAAUCCGGAAAAUCAAGGCUGAGGCGUGAUGACGAGGCACUACGGUGCUGAAGCAACAAAUGCCCUGCUUCCAGGAAAAGCCUCUAAGCAUCAGGUAACAUCAAAUCGUACCCCAAACCGACACAGGUGGUCAGGUAGAGAAUACCAAGGCGCUUGAGAGAACUCGGGUGAAGGAACUAGGCAAAAUGGUGCCGUAACUUCGGGAGAAGGCACGCUGAUAUGUAGGUGAAGCGACUUGCUCGUGGAGCUGAAAUCAGUCGAAGAUACCAGCUGGCUGCAACUGUUUAUUAAAAACACAGCACUGUGCAAACACGAAAGUGGACGUAUACGGUGUGACGCCUGCCCGGUGCCGGAAGGUUAAUUGAUGGGGUUAGCGCAAGCGAAGCUCUUGAUCGAAGCCCCGGUAAACGGCGGCCGUAACUAUAACGGUCCUAAGGUAGCGAAAUUCCUUGUCGGGUAAGUUCCGACCUGCACGAAUGGCGUAAUGAUGGCCAGGCUGUCUCCACCCGAGACUCAGUGAAAUUGAACUCGCUGUGAAGAUGCAGUGUACCCGCGGCAAGACGGAAAGACCCCGUGAACCUUUACUAUAGCUUGACACUGAACAUUGAGCCUUGAUGUGUAGGAUAGGUGGGAGGCUUUGAAGUGUGGACGCCAGUCUGCAUGGAGCCGACCUUGAAAUACCACCCUUUAAUGUUUGAUGUUCUAACGUUGACCCGUAAUCCGGGUUGCGGACAGUGUCUGGUGGGUAGUUUGACUGGGGCGGUCUCCUCCUAAAGAGUAACGGAGGAGCACGAAGGUUGGCUAAUCCUGGUCGGACAUCAGGAGGUUAGUGCAAUGGCAUAAGCCAGCUUGACUGCGAGCGUGACGGCGCGAGCAGGUGCGAAAGCAGGUCAUAGUGAUCCGGUGGUUCUGAAUGGAAGGGCCAUCGCUCAACGGAUAAAAGGUACUCCGGGGAUAACAGGCUGAUACCGCCCAAGAGUUCAUAUCGACGGCGGUGUUUGGCACCUCGAUGUCGGCUCAUCACAUCCUGGGGCUGAAGUAGGUCCCAAGGGUAUGGCUGUUCGCCAUUUAAAGUGGUACGCGAGCUGGGUUUAGAACGUCGUGAGACAGUUCGGUCCCUAUCUGCCGUGGGCGCUGGAGAACUGAGGGGGGCUGCUCCUAGUACGAGAGGACCGGAGUGGACGCAUCACUGGUGUUCGGGUUGUCAUGCCAAUGGCACUGCCCGGUAGCUAAAUGCGGAAGAGAUAAGUGCUGAAAGCAUCUAAGCACGAAACUUGCCCCGAGAUGAGUUCUCCCUGACUCCUUGAGAGUCCUGAAGGAACGUUGAAGACGACGACGUUGAUAGGCCGGGUGUGUAAGCGCAGCGAUGCGUUGAGCUAACCGGUACUAAUGAACCGUGAGGCUUAACCUU